RNAcentral lists this ribosomal RNA (300 nucleotides) under uncultured Alcanivoracaceae bacterium. Its description in RNAcentral is "bacterial SSU rRNA". It matches the Rfam family "Bacterial small subunit ribosomal RNA", at positions 114 to 417 of the family's 1533-position model. The record is from RNAcentral. Lineage: Bacteria; Pseudomonadati; Pseudomonadota; Gammaproteobacteria; Oceanospirillales; Alcanivoracaceae.
UGCAUAGGAAUCUGCCCAGUAGUGGGGGAUAACUCGGAGAAAUCCGAGCUAAUACCGCAUAUGUCCUACGGGACAAAGCAGGGGACCUUCGGGCCUUGCGCUAUUGGAUGAGCCUAUGUCGGAUUAGCUAGUUGGUAGAGUAAAAGCCUACCAAGGCGACGAUCCGUAGCUGGUCUGAGAGGAUGAUCAGCCACACUGGGACUGAGACACGGCCCAGACUCCUACGGGAGGCAGCAGCGGGGAAUAUUGCACAAUGGGCACAAGCCUGAUGCAGCAAUGCCGCGUGUGUGAAGAAGGCCU